Molecule: long non-coding RNA, 999 nt
Organism: Microcebus murinus (gray mouse lemur)
Lineage: Eukaryota; Metazoa; Chordata; Mammalia; Primates; Cheirogaleidae
Source: RefSeq, a predicted model, not a curated record
CACGGAGAUAAUAAGAACAGACUUUCUGCAGUGCCUCCUGAGUGAGUGAUUGGGUUGUCAUUGUCUAAACAGAGCAGCUGGGUUAAAGAUAUUUGUCCACGAUGUAACCUCCUGGCCCUGAGCUACGGCUGGAAGCAGCUCUUUCUGGUUUGACCUGUUAAUGCCACAAACUCCACUUUGCCAGAAAUGUGACUUCUUGAUGAAUAGUCGGUCCAAACCUGCCAAUUUGGAGUGAACUCAUAUUUGGUCACCUGCUGGAGCGCCAAAGACCAAGAGGAGACCAGAUGAGUUUCCAAAGCAGUCCUCACACACCGAGGACGCACCUCAUCCUUUGCCUCACGCUUUCUGCAAUGUUGCUGCUCACGUUCAUCUUCCUGCUAACCCUUGCCAUAAUAAUCCCUUCCUGACCACCAUCCCUUCUCCAUUCACCACCCACUCAGCUCCUUCUCUGAGGUGCCCCUCUUAUGGGCAGUGGCUUUAGUCUCUGUUUGGCAAGUUCCCUUUUAAGUUAUAUCCAGAUGCCUGAUGUUAGUUUCCCUCUUUCUCAUCCCUGACUUUUGCCAAACUCGGCCAAACACUCAUCCCCCUGGUCAAGAAACCCAUAGCAAAUCCUAUUUCUUCCAAAAUGAAGUUACUAGACAUUCUACCAGAGCAGUCACACUCAAUGAAGGGGCCCAAGAUAUAUCUGAGUGUGAUGUUAUUGGAAUCACAUGGAAAAAACAGAAAUUCCUGAAUCCCAGUCAGAUACAGUGAAAGAGCUUACUCAUGACUGUUCGGACUGAUUGAGAAUGUGGAGGUAGGAGGAGCAAGAACCUCAGAAUUGGAUUACCCCUAAAUACAGGAUGGAAUCAUCUAGAUUUUUUUUUCCUCCAAUUAAAUUUGCAUUUCAUUCACCACAUUGCAAUGGCUUCACUUUAGACAUUUUCAUUCGAGACCCAAGGCUUCUCUUCAUGGGUCCAGAGCCACAGGUUCCUGGAUGGUGAGGCCAAAAUAGUUGUG